GUGUAACUUCGGUUACACGUAUACUAAAAUUGGAACGAUACAGAGAAGAUUAGCAUGGCCCCUGCGCAA
This 69-nucleotide small nuclear RNA is filed under the name Sparus aurata (gilthead seabream). The record is from RNAcentral. Lineage: Eukaryota; Metazoa; Chordata; Actinopteri; Spariformes; Sparidae.